AAUUAAGGUGAAACCGCGAAAGGCUCAUUAAAUCAGUUAUGGUUCCUUAGAUCGUACCCACAAUUACUUGGAUAACUGUGGUAAUUCUAGAGCUAAUACAUGCAAACAGAGCUCCGACCGGAGACGGAAGGAGUGCUUUUAUUAGAUCAAAACCAAUCGGUGGCGGGUUCGCU
Molecule: ribosomal RNA, 173 nt
Filed under: Trigonopterus sp. 10 AR-2022a
Lineage: Eukaryota; Metazoa; Arthropoda; Insecta; Coleoptera; Curculionidae
Description: partial small subunit ribosomal RNA
Rfam family: Eukaryotic small subunit ribosomal RNA
Source: RNAcentral